AUGUUCAUCGAUUUUUGAGUGUAAAAUGGCUGACGGAUAUUUAGCAAUAAAUAUACUUUUUCUUCAAGAAAGAGUAAGAAUGCUAGAAAGACGAUUAGAAAGAAGAUUAUUGCACGAUACUCAAAAUCCAUUUGAGCUCCCUAACAAUGAAUUCAUCGCGCAAUUUAGAGUGAAUAAGGAAAUAGUUAUAGAUAUUGUUAAUGUUUUGAGGCCACAUUUGCAAAAACAGCGUAUAACUGGCUUAUCUCCAGAGAUAUAAGUAUUAAUAGCAUUUGGCUUCUUUGCUCAUGGUAGCUACCAAAGAUCGGUAAUCAAUGUGAAUUAGUUGUAAGCCAUGUGCUAGUUGUUGUAUAAGAAAAGUGGCACAAUUAAUGAACAUAUAUUUAUUGCGUUAAUGGAUAAGAUUUCCUAUGACCGCAAAUAAAAGAACAAUUGCAAAAAAUAAAUUUGCAUUAGCUCCACAACUAUUUCCCGGUGCUAUAGGCGCAAUAGAUUGCACACAUGUUAAUAUUCUUGCACCAUAUAUACAUGAAGAGGCCUAUGUAAACCACCACGGAAAUCAUUCUUUAAAUGUUCAAGCAAUAGUUGAUCCAGAUUUAAAAAUAUUCAAUAUUAACGCAAGAUAUCCAGGAGCAAGGAAUGAUGCCUAUAUUUGGAAUGCUUCUCCAAUCAGAAAUGUCAUGGAAUAUUUUUAUAACAAUGAUGAAAGGAGAACUUAUUUG
This is a long non-coding RNA of Trachymyrmex cornetzi, 722 nucleotides long. RefSeq lists it as uncharacterized. NCBI's taxonomy places the organism in Eukaryota, Metazoa, Arthropoda, Insecta, Hymenoptera, Formicidae. The record is from RefSeq and is a predicted model, not a curated record. The transcript has 3 exons.